UACGGAGGGCGCGAGCGUUAAUCGGAAUUACUGGGCGUAAAGCGCGCGUAGGCUGUUGUGUAAGUUGGGGGUGAAAUCCCACGGCUCAACCGUGGAACAGCCCUUGAUACUGCGCGACUUGAAUCCGGGAGAGGGUGGCGGAAUUCCAGGUGUAGGAGUGAAAUUCGUAGAUAUCUGGAGGAACAUCAGUGGCGAAGGCGGCCACCUGGACCGGUAUUGACGCUGAGGCGCGAAAGCGUGGGGAGCAAACGGG
RNAcentral lists this ribosomal RNA (253 nucleotides) under uncultured bacterium. RNAcentral's name for it is "partial 16S ribosomal RNA". It matches the Rfam family "Bacterial small subunit ribosomal RNA", at positions 524 to 776 of the family's 1533-position model. The record is from RNAcentral.